Molecule: ribosomal RNA, 450 nt
Filed under: uncultured bacterium
Lineage: Bacteria
Description: partial 16S ribosomal RNA
Rfam family: Bacterial small subunit ribosomal RNA
Source: RNAcentral
GUGGGGAAUUUUGGACAAUGGGCGAAAGCCUGAUCCAGCCAUGCCGCGUGCAGGAUGAAGGCCUUCGGGUUGUAAACUGCUUUUGUACGGAACGAAAAGACUCCUUCUAAUAAAGGGGGUCCAUGACGGUACCGUAAGAAUAAGCACCGGCUAACUACGUGCCAGCAGCCGCGGUAAUACGUAGGGUGCAAGCGUUAAUCGGAAUUACUGGGCGUAAAGCGUGCGCAGGCGGUUAUAUAAGACAGAUGUGAAAUCCACGGGCUCAACCUGGGAACUGAAUAUGUGACUGUAUAGCUAGAGUACGGUAGAGGGGGAUGGAAUUCCGCGUGUAGCAGUGAAAUGCGUAGAUAUGCGGGGGGACACCGAUGGCGAAGGCAAUCCCCUGGACCUGUACUGACGCUCAUGCACGAAAGCGUGGGGAGCAAACAGGAUUAGAUACCCGGGUAGUCC